CCUCCUCUCUCCCUCCUCCAUCCCCCAUUCCCCACUCCCCUCUUGUGCGUAGAAACAUGGAGGACGGCGCAGGCACUUGUGAGAAUCUUCUGCUUUCACUGGAAAUGAUAAAGCUGGUUGGAAUUUUUACCACGGAAGGAGAGCAGAGAAGACGUUGAUGCAACAACCUUUGGGUUACCACUACAACACCUGAGUCAUGUAAUCUCCUGAACUAACCUGUUCCACCAUGAUUCCCUAAACUGUGUCUACCAGGGCCGUAGCUAGGAAUUAUGGAAGUCAUGUCAUAGGACCUCCCAACCCUUCCCCACCAGACCACAAGGUCUGCAGGCUUUUUAAAUGACUCAGAGUUUCAUUUUUAUAUCUAUUUCAUUUAUUUUAUUUGUGCAUGUGCGGUGACUGUGCAUGCAGCCAGUUACAGUUGCUCCUGUUUGUUUUAUUUUCCUACUUUCUUUCUUUUGUCGUACUUGUUUACAUUUUUACUGCUAACUUGUUUAAGAUAAGCCCUCACAAAGCUGGAGAGAAGGAUUUCUGCUCUGUUUCUUCACUGUGGGCUGUGGGUACCACUGGGCAGCCCCCUCACACAAAUGUAAUAUAUGUACAUAUUUUAAAACUUCCAUAUAUGAAACAUAUGUAUAUAUAAAAUAAAAAUAUGUGUAAAAUGUAUUAAGCCUAUUAGAAAUUGGAACAAUUUCAUAUAUUGAUAUAUAUCUAGCCCAAACAAAUAUGUAUGCUUAUGUAUGUAAACAUUGUAGACAUGUGUUAUGUAACUAUAUAUCCAUCCCAAAGCCUGUCAAUAGCAUAUGUGUUGAUAUUAUAAACAGUAAAAGUCCAAAAGUCUGAGACCAUUUUUAACAGAAUGGGAAGAUAGACAUGUUUAAAAUUAAUAAGAAAUAGAUUUUUAAUAAACAUAUAUAUGCAUAUAGAAUUUAAAUUUUUUUUAUAUGUAUGUUGUCUGAAUAAAACUUAAAUUGUAAUUGUUAACAUAUAUGCUUGUAAUAUUAUACCAUAUAGAAAAAUAAUCAUAGAUAAUUGUAAUUUACUGGGGGUAUUUCAUAAACGUUAUCUUCAUAUAGCCAGAGGAUGUAUACAUGUAAUGAUAUCUCAUUAUAGGUGACAUGCAUGGCAACAUCACUCACUGAUAUAGGGCCAUACAUGUCAUAUAUUACAUUUCUGUAUGGGCAACCCAGGGUCACAUUGUUUAUAUCAGGGACCAGCUGAUUGUGCUGAAGGUGGCUGGCGAGGCAACCAGAAGAACAUCAAGUCAGGAGGACACACAGAGGAUGCAGAGGAGGAACAAAGCCACAAGGGAAGAGAGCUGGGUCCAGAAAGAGAGACCCUCCUGUAAUGGGAGAUCACUGGACAAUAAGAUGGACAAGCUAGCGGCUCUAGUGAGGAAUCAAAGGGACUUCUGUAAAUGUAGUGUUAAUGUUUUGCAGAGACAUGGUUACAUGAAGAUACUCAGGAUCCCAUCAUCCCGUCAAUGUCCAUUCUACAGAAUGCUGCAGGAAUGAGCCCUAAAAUUCAGAAAAAGCAUUUUUGUACCUCUGGUUCCCUUGUCACAAUGUUGAUGGGUUUUGUGAAUGGGUUUUUGGUUAGAUGACAGAAAUGAGAUCUGGGGUUAACACAAGGUCAAGACAUUUUCACAUUUUAUUCUACGACAUAAGAUACGUCUGUAAAUACCCCAGUCGUGAUUUCUUUAUGCUUUUGUGUGUUCAUUAGUGAAGAUUAUCAUGCUGAACAAAACACAUAAGCGUCAUAAACUGUUUUCUGGGAAAAACCCCAUUCCCUUUUUGUCCAAUGCUAACUUCCGCCAUGGCCUACAAAUACAUUACCCCUGCAGCGCUCUAUUCCCAGGGAGAUCUCACACGUCAUCUUGGUUGAGGUUUCCACUGAAGAAAACAUGAUGAUUAUCAGGCCAGUUCUGGAGUUAUCAGGCCAGUUCGUUCUUUUUUCACUGAUUUCUAAGUAGGAUUGUAUAUCUUUAUUUGCAAUGAGGAUUGGACAUAAUUGCAUUCAUGGAAAAUGUAAGUCACACUGAAUCUAAAUGUAAUCUGUCUAUCAUCUCUGUAUCAUGUCUGUGUGUUCAGGUUUGACUGAAUCAUGACAACUCUUGAUUCCUGGCACUGAUAUUAGUUCAAGAUGUUUUUAUAAAAAUACAUUAUGUUUUUUUUUUCAACCACUUUUAUUUUGUCAAAGUAGCUCUCAUCUUAUUUACAAUGAAAAUGAUUUGAAAAAUGAACCCUAUUGAUUUUGGUGAUCCCAUAUGACUUGAAGCCAAUAUUUACACAUGCAUGACAUACUGGAUUACAUAAUAGCCUGAUUCCUUUGAGUUUUGUUGAAGACAUUCAUGCUCCCCAGAGGAAGAACCCUUGAAUUCAGUGAUUCCAUAAUGUAUUGCAUAAUACCACCUUUAAAUUAAACUUAACACAUUA
Molecule: long non-coding RNA, 2432 nt
Organism: Seriola aureovittata
Lineage: Eukaryota; Metazoa; Chordata; Actinopteri; Carangiformes; Carangidae
Exons: 2
Source: RefSeq, a predicted model, not a curated record